This 532-nucleotide ribosomal RNA is filed under the name uncultured bacterium. Its description in RNAcentral is "bacterial LSU rRNA". It matches the Rfam family "Bacterial large subunit ribosomal RNA", at positions 483 to 1016 of the family's 2925-position model. The record is from RNAcentral.
ACCGAUAGUGAACUAGUACCGCGAGGGAAAGGCGAAAAGAACCCCUGCGAGGGGAGUGAAAUAGAUCCUGCAACCACUUGCCUACAAUGUGUCGAAGCGCCGCAAGGCGUGACGGCCUGCCUUUUGCAUAAUGAGUCUGCGAGUUAUUGUCCGUGGCCAGCGUAACCUUUUGGGAACGCGAAGCGAAAGCGAGUACGAAAUGUGCGGCCAGUCGCGGGCAAUAGACCCGAAGCGGAGGUGAUCUACUCUUGAGCAGGUUGAAACCAAGGUAACACUUGGUGGAGGACCGAACUCGUGAAUGUUGAAAAAUUCUGAGAUGACUUGAGGGUAGGAGCGAAAGACUAAUCAAACCCCGUGAUAGCUGGUUCUCCCCGAAAUCGCUUGAGGGCGAGCGUUGGAAGUAAACCGAGGAGGUAGAGCACUGGAUGGCUUAGGGUCCACACCAGGAUGCCAAAACCAAUCCAAACUCCGAAUUCCUCGGGAUCCAUUACCCCAGCAUUCAGACGGUGGGGAGUAAGCUCCAUCGUCGAGA